CGAGAUUUUAGACGACAGUACACAUGCGCGACAUCAUGGAAGGCACUAGGCAUGCGCGAGAACAUGGACAGUAGUACGCAUGCGCGACAUUAUAGACGGCAGUACGCAUGCACGAGCCGCGAGACGGUAGUACGCAUGCGCCACAACAUAGAUAGCAGUACGCAUGCGCGAGUUUCGAGACUGCAGCACGCAUGCGCGAGCUUCGAGACGGCAGCACGCAUGCGCGAGUUUCGAGACGGCAGUACGCAUGCGCGAGCCGCGAGACGGCGGUACGCAUGCACGGCAUCAUAGACAGCAGCACGCAUGCGCGAGCCAUGAAACGGCAGUACGCAUGCGCGACAUCAAGGACGGUAAUACGCAUGCACGACAUUAUAGACGGCAGUACGCAUGCGCCAGCCGCGGGACGGCAGUAUGCCUGCGCGAGCCCGGAGAUGACAGUACGCAUGCGCGAGCCCCGAGACGGCAGUACGCAUGCGCGACAUCAUGGACAGUAGUUCGCAUGCGCGACAUUAUAGACGGCAGUGCGCAUGCGCGAGUUUCGAGACGGCAGUACGCAUGCGCGACAUUAUGGAGCCGCGAGACGGCAGAACGCAUGCGCGAGCCCGCAGACGGCAGCACGCAUGCGCGACAUCAUGGACGGUGGCAGCAGAUACCGUGGAAACAACAACUCCGCCGCCUUUUAGCGGACUGCCUGGGACCGUGGGCGCGCAUCCCCUUCUCUCUUUCUUUUCUUGGCAGAGGAUGGUGGGGGGAAGAAGGGGAGACGACAAAGAAAAGCAAGGAAAACUUCGACAAACCCUCCAACCCCGUGCUAAAUGCUUUGGUAUACCUGUAAAUAAAUGAAUACAUAACCAGCA
This 857-nucleotide long non-coding RNA is filed under the name Gallus gallus (chicken). RNAcentral's name for it is "lncRNA (ENSGALG00010001543.1)". The record is from RNAcentral. Lineage: Eukaryota; Metazoa; Chordata; Aves; Galliformes; Phasianidae.